AGGGAAUUAGUAUAAUUUAGUAUUUCUGACUUGCAUUCAGAGGGUUAAAAUUCUCUA
This 57-nucleotide transfer RNA is filed under the name Strongyloides vituli. Its description in RNAcentral is "tRNA-Ala". The record is from RNAcentral. Lineage: Eukaryota; Metazoa; Nematoda; Chromadorea; Rhabditida; Strongyloididae.